Molecule: long non-coding RNA, 179 nt
Organism: Dermacentor silvarum
Lineage: Eukaryota; Metazoa; Arthropoda; Arachnida; Ixodida; Ixodidae
Exons: 2
Source: RefSeq, a predicted model, not a curated record
CAACACCACGUUCAACGCCAAGAUCAACUCCACGUCGUGCACCCAAUAAGCACAGAAGGUGACUUUGAACGCAUAUUUUUGGGCCUGGCAAUGCAUAGUGAAUAUUAGGCCCUGCUUAAAUCUGCCGUGCCACAGAGCUGACUGCUGUGGAAUUUACCAAUAAAAACUCUGAAACCGAU